Molecule: non-coding RNA, 30 nt
Filed under: Mus musculus (house mouse)
Lineage: Eukaryota; Metazoa; Chordata; Mammalia; Rodentia; Muridae
Source: RNAcentral
UUGCCAUGACAAAAGAAUGAAAGCCUUCGA